RNAcentral lists this ribosomal RNA (497 nucleotides) under uncultured bacterium. RNAcentral's name for it is "partial 16S ribosomal RNA". It matches the Rfam family "Bacterial small subunit ribosomal RNA", at positions 28 to 507 of the family's 1533-position model. The record is from RNAcentral.
GAUGAACGCUGGCGGCGUGCCUAAUACAUGCAAGUCGAGCGAACACACGAGGAGCUUGCUCCUCUGACGUUAGCGGCGGACGGGUGAGUAACACGUGGAUAACCUACCUAUAAGACUGGGAUAACUUCGGGAAACCGGAGCUAAUACCGGAUAAUAUAUUGAACCGCAUGGUUCAAUAGUGAAAGACGGUUUUGCUGUCACUUAUAGAUGGAUCCGCGCCGCAUUAGCUAGUUGGUAAGGUAACGGCUUACCAAGGCAACGAUGCGUAGCCGACCUGAGAGGGUGAUCGGCCACACUGGAACUGAGACACGGUCCAGACUCCUACGGGAGGCAGCAGUAGGGAAUCUUCCGCAAUGGGCGAAAGCCUGACGGAGCAACGCCGCGUGAGUGAUGAAGGUCUUCGGAUCGUAAAACUCUGUUAUUAGGGAAGAACAAAUGUGUAAGUAACUAUGCACGUCUUGACGGUACCUAAUCAGAAAGCCACGGCUAACUACGUG